RNAcentral lists this long non-coding RNA (3273 nucleotides) under Homo sapiens (human). RNAcentral describes it as "HSALNT0265446". Lineage: Eukaryota; Metazoa; Chordata; Mammalia; Primates; Hominidae. The record is from RNAcentral.
GUUCCAGGUACCUUACAUGGAAGCAGCUGGGUAAACAGUGAUUUUGAGGCAUUAACACAUCAUAUUUGUACAGCAAUGAGAGUUUUGAAAAACAUUCAUCCUUCACACUCAAAGUGAAGCCAGACAUAACAUUUACUAAAAAGCAAGAGUCUAGUACAGUGUUGGAGAUGCAUCCUGCCUCGCCCAAAUUUCCAAAUGUUUGCUCCACUAUUCUUUACAAACAUCUCAAGGAAACUUCAACAACUUUUCAGCUUGUUUAAUGUUAAUGAAAGUGAAUAUCCCAAUGUUCUGAAAAAAGCAAAAACUGUCUUUCCAGCUGCUUGGCCUGAUGGAAGUAUAAAGGCGGGCUUUUAGUAUGCAGCAAAGCUGUGCGUGAUGUCUCUGAUUUUAAAUGUUUCACCCAAAAUGUAAUACGACUAUGUUUAUUUUUUUCUCUUUUACAUGAGGGAAGUGUUUCCAUAAGACCUGGAAGACAAGACAUAAUGUGGGGACACAAAGGCAGAUGAAGACUUAUUGCUCAUUCUUCUUUUUUCCACUUCCUGAAAUAGACAGUCCUUCCCUCCUGAUCCAAACCCGAUUCAUUGUGUCAUAUCUAACUAAAAUGGCACCUUUCCUAAGAGUGCUUGUUCUUUGUGACUCCAGGACGUUCUAUCAGCCAUUGUUGUGGAUACCCUUCCCCACACAUUUUAGAGCUCCAAGUACAGCACAGUGAUGGCAUUUCAUGCUCCUUGGAACCUGUGAGGUGGGUGCCACAUCGUCUUCACUUUUUGGAUGUGAAAGCUGAAGCUCAGAGGUCCUGUCACCAGUCUAUGUGUCAAGGUCAUACACAUCAGUUAGUGAACAGCCAGGGUCUGCAGCCUCACUGUCCAGCUUCGGGGGGCUCCACGCGGAAACUCCCUGCAGUUCUCUGUUCUCCGCGGUAACCUCACUCGUGGAUUCCUUUAAGGCCUAUUCUUUUAUCUUCAACUAAACCAUGAAUCCCUUGAUGACAGCUUUUGUCUUGUACUUUUUUUUACAUCUGGAUAGCCACUUCACAAAAGAAUACCUGCAGGAGUCUAUCAUACGUGCACUGAUUGAGAUGGAUCAUGUGAGGAUAUGUAAAACCAGAGACUCAAAAAAUAGCAAACUGAACAUUUAGAUAAGGUAAUCAUUCUAUGGCUUAUUGGUGGUAGUUUAUAUUAAUGGUCAUUAUAAUCAUGUUGUUUCCAAGCAAAUAACACAAUAAGAAAAUAAUCCAGUAAUACCCCUAAGCUUUGUGAAUGUGUUAUGAUCAGUUUUAUGUAAGACCAUACUGUAGUAAGUUAUGGGGGGGGUUGUCCAGUCACUCUCAUGUGAGUGGUGUCAAAACACAUACUCACCCCCACCCUGAGUCGCUGCCUUGGGUCCCAUCCAGCAAUGACUGUGAGUGCCCCAACACCUGAGCACACAGAUGCUCUUAUUUCAGAACCCACCCAUGUCAGGGAAGCCCCUGUCUCCCAGAGGUCCUUUCAGUCUAGCCAGUUCUAGGGCAUGGUCCUUUCCCAGGAUGCACACUGUGGGCAUCUAGGCAUGGGGAGGGAGAGUGGCCACUAUUUGUAUGUGUGGAAUUGGCCACCUGGGAGAAACUGAGAAGGGUCUGAAAACGUCUCUCCACAUUCAGUUAUUAUGGAGCAGUAAUGCAGGCAAAACUGUCCCUGGAAUCAGUUCAUGGUAUAACCCAAGUGUCACAAAGAAAGGAUCAGGGCAGAGAAAGUGAGCUUUGUUGGAACCUGGGGUGAGUGGGAAGAGCAACUGGGAGAUGAGCGACACAGGAUAGGGCAGGGGCUAGAGCAGAGAGAGGGGGAGGGCGCUGGCCCAGGAGAGAUGACCACACCAGACUAUGUGGACCCCACCUGAGGCACAGCCCUAAGAGGAGUUGCAGCAAGGGGAGCUGGUGUCCCCAUUUCAGGAAGGCUCCCUUGACAGGUAGGGAAUGUGGACUUUCCGUAGAGUAAUGCUCUGUUCGCCACUUGUCCAAAUAGUAAUAAAUCACCAGUAAAUUCCUGGUGCUGUUUGGAAGCCUUGGACUUCAAAGCCCCAAAUUCACAAACAGGAACCUUUCAUUAACUCUGGAAAAAGAAUUUCACUUUAUUUCAAUUUGUGUAUUUGGUUAUUUAGUGGAAGCAUAUAUUGCUGACCAACAUGACAUUCCGUUUUGAAUCAAGUGCCUUUUAUUCUAGAGCCAUCAGACAUUGAAAUUAUGUGUUUAAAUGCUUGACCAGCCUUCAUCUGUACCAAAUGUUUGAACUUGCUUUUAUAAAAGAUGAGACAACUUUGUGUUUUAGUUUUUUUUUUAAAGCUGGUUUUAUUCACAAGAUACAUAAGACCAAAAAACCCCUCAGAGCUGUAACAUUUUGAUUUUCCUGGAGUUCAAAGUACUACCUUUCUCCAUUAAAUAAUUUAAAGCAUCUUUUUUGAGAGAAGGGAAUAAAAGCAAGAUCUAAUCUGGAAUUGAAUGCCUUGUGGUGUGUUGUUUUGCUGGGGCCCGUCGCCUUGUUCUGUCUUUAUUUCUCCUCUUUUCCUCCCUUCUCAGCUAUGCUUGGGUAUCCAAUGUCAGAAUUAUUUCUUUCAUCAGACCCAUGCAAAUGGAAUAAUAUUCUCUCUGCUGAAUGUCACUGUUGCUUGGACCUUUUAAAGUUAAGGUCAAACAUCCCUUUUUGUUUUUAUUAAGAAGCAUUGCAUCACACAGAGAAAAUAUUACACACUGAUCUUUAACAAGAGUACUGUAAAGCAAAUUGGGAUCGAUCUUAUUUUCAGCUGGGACAACCAUUUCCUUCAGGCUUGACCUGAGGAUCAGAUGUUUGACUCUUCUAGGAAUCAAGGUGAAGAUGGAUAAACAUGCAAGUUUGAAAGAAAGCAGGAACAAGGCAAUCCAACUUGUAUUUUCUGUAAGCUGGCGGCAGAACAUUUAACUGCCAGCUCCUGACAAGGUUUGGAAAACUCAUCAGUGGGAAAGCAGCCAAAACACUGCUCAAGCAUGGGUGGUCACCAGCAGCAAAGGAGGGAAAGCAAGCCAGAAAGAAAGAAGGAAAGAGAGAGUUUUUAUAUAAGUGCUUUCCCAUGAUGUUCUAGCUAUGUGCUUUACUAAAGCAGUGUAACUGUCACCAUCCUGCUGAAAGCUCAAAUUAAGGUGAUGCAAUGAGGAAGCAUUUCAUAUUAAUAACGGCAUUAAACAGAGACAACACAUUAUCAUCUAUGCAGGCUUGGCUGGGCUGGUGUGCACCUUACUUCCUAGUUUCAAGAAUAGAAUACUCA